CUUCAGCGAGCCCAGCCACAGCGGCUUGUUCUCCGGCCGCUCCUUGCCGUAGGUGGCCAUCAGGGCCUGCGCCUC
This is a non-coding RNA of Streptomyces violaceusniger Tu 4113, 75 nucleotides long. Lineage: Bacteria; Bacillati; Actinomycetota; Actinomycetes; Kitasatosporales; Streptomycetaceae. The record is from Rfam.